CUCACAUCGCUGGGAUGUGGCUCAGAUUGGCCACGGUCGGAGGAGGUUGCUCACAUGGCCGCUAUUAGGAAGGAGACGACCCAGUCCAUAAAGCGCCCAGAAGGGCUGGAUACAGGACCACAGGCCGGAUGUGGCUCUCGUUCUUUUUUCAGAGCUCACCACAAGAUGAUGAUGCAGAUGAUGCCACAUGUACACAAACUUGGCCAACACUUGCUCAUCAGAACAUCCCUAUCAUCAACACCAUCUCCAAUUCUAGAAUUCAAGAUGAACUCCAUUUACGAACGACGGUUUCAGGUCCGGAUUACCUCCCAGACUUUACUGCACCACUUAUAUAAC
This 336-nucleotide long non-coding RNA is filed under the name Hordeum vulgare. RNAcentral's name for it is "long non-coding RNA (HVUL_LNC009501)". The record is from RNAcentral. Lineage: Eukaryota; Viridiplantae; Streptophyta; Magnoliopsida; Poales; Poaceae.